AGGGUCUAUAGCUCAGUGGUAGAGCAAUUGACUGCAGAUCAAUAGGUCACCGGUUCGAACCCGGUUGGGCCCUUCC
This 76-nucleotide transfer RNA is filed under the name Helianthus annuus (common sunflower). RNAcentral describes it as "tRNA-Cys". It matches the Rfam family "tRNA". From Rfam's summary of the family: Transfer RNA (tRNA) molecules are approximately 80 nucleotides in length. Their secondary structure includes four short double-helical elements and three loops (D, anti-codon, and T loops). Lineage: Eukaryota; Viridiplantae; Streptophyta; Magnoliopsida; Asterales; Asteraceae. The record is from RNAcentral.